GAUGAACGCUGGCGGCGUGCCUAAUACAUGCAAGUAGAACGCUGAAGGAGGAGCUUGCUCUUCUGGAUGAGUUGCGAACGGGUGAGUAACGCUUAGGUAACCUGCCUGGUAGCGGGGGAUAACUAUUGGAAACGAUAGCUAAUACCGCAUGACAACACUUAUUGCAUGAUAACUGUUUAAAAGGGGCAACUGCUCCACUACCAGAUGGACCUGCGUUGUAUUAGCUAGUUGGUGAGGUAACGGCUCACCAAGGCGACGAUACAUAGCCGACCUGGGAGGGUGAUCGGCCACACUGGGACUGAGACACGGACCAGACUCCUACGGGAGGCAGCAGUAGGGAAGCUUAGGAAAUGGACGGAAGUCUGACCGAGCAACGGCGCGUGAGUGAAGAAGGUUUUCGGAUCGUAAAGCUCUGUUGUAAGAGAAGAACGAGUGUGAGAGUGGAAAGUUCACACUGUGACGGUAUCUUACCAGAAAGGGACGGCUAACUACGUG
RNAcentral lists this ribosomal RNA (495 nucleotides) under uncultured bacterium. Its description in RNAcentral is "partial 16S ribosomal RNA". It matches the Rfam family "Bacterial small subunit ribosomal RNA", at positions 28 to 507 of the family's 1533-position model. The record is from RNAcentral.